RNAcentral lists this ribosomal RNA (253 nucleotides) under uncultured bacterium. RNAcentral describes it as "partial 16S ribosomal RNA". It matches the Rfam family "Bacterial small subunit ribosomal RNA", at positions 524 to 776 of the family's 1533-position model. The record is from RNAcentral.
UACGUAGGGAGCAGGCGUUGUCCGGAAUCAUUGGGCGUAAAGCGCGCGUAGGCGGCCCUGUAAGUCCGUUGUGAAAGUCAAAGGCUCAACCUUUGAAAGCCGAUGGAUACUGCAGGGCUAGAGUCCGGAAGAGGCGAGUGGAAUUCCUGGUGUAGCGGUGGAAUGCGCAGAUAUCAGGAGGAACACCAAUAGCGAAGGCAGCUCGCUGGGACGGUACUGACGCUAAGGCGCGAAAGCGUGGGGAGCGAACAGG